CAGCCGCCACGGGAAUACGUAGGGUGCGAGCGUUAAUCGGAAUUACUGGGCGUAAAGCGCACGUAGGCGGAUCGAUCAGUCUGGGGUGGAAUCCCAGAGCUCAACUCUGGAACUGCCUUUGACACUGUCGAUCUGGAGUAUGGAAGAGGUGAGUGGAAUUCCGAGUGUAGAGGUGAAAUUCGUAGAUAUUCGGAGGAACACCAGUGGCGAAGGCGGCUCACUGGUCCAUUACUGACGCUGAGGUGCGAAAGCGUGGGGAGCAAACAGGAUUAGAGACCCCUGUAGUCCCUGUCUCUUAUAA
Molecule: ribosomal RNA, 301 nt
Filed under: uncultured bacterium
Lineage: Bacteria
Description: partial 16S ribosomal RNA
Rfam family: Bacterial small subunit ribosomal RNA
Source: RNAcentral